CCUACGGGCGGCUGCAGUGGGGAAUAUUGCACAAUGGGCGCAAGCCUGAUGCAGCCAUGCCGCGUGUGUGAAGAAGGCCUUCGGGUUGUAAAGCACUUUUAGCGGGGAGGAAGGCGGUGAGGUUAAUAACCUCAUCGAUUGACGUUACCCGCAGAAGAAGCACCGGCUAACUCCGUGCCAGCAGCCGCGGUAAUACGGAGGGUGCAAGCGUUAAUCGGAAUUACUGGGCGUAAAGCGCACGCAGGCGGUCUGUCAAGUCGGAUGUGAAAUCCCCGGGCUCAACCUGGGAACUGCAUUCGAAACUGGCAGGCUAGAGUCUUGUAGAGGGGGGUAGAAUUCCAGGUGUAGCGGUGAAAUGCGUAGAGAUCUGGAGGAAUACCGGUGGCGAAGGCGGCCCCCUGGACAAAGACUGACGCUCAGGUGCGAAAGCGUGGGGAGCAAACAGGAUUAGAUACCCGUGUAGUC
RNAcentral lists this ribosomal RNA (465 nucleotides) under uncultured Klebsiella sp. RNAcentral describes it as "bacterial SSU rRNA". It matches the Rfam family "Bacterial small subunit ribosomal RNA", at positions 338 to 795 of the family's 1533-position model. Lineage: Bacteria; Pseudomonadati; Pseudomonadota; Gammaproteobacteria; Enterobacterales; Enterobacteriaceae. The record is from RNAcentral.